This 271-nucleotide ribosomal RNA is filed under the name uncultured bacterium. Its description in RNAcentral is "partial 16S ribosomal RNA". It matches the Rfam family "Bacterial small subunit ribosomal RNA", at positions 524 to 794 of the family's 1533-position model. The record is from RNAcentral.
UACGGAGGAUGCGAGCGUUAUCCGGAUUUAUUGGGUUUAAAGGGUGCGCAGGCGGGAUUUUAAGUCAGCGGUGAAAUUUUCAGGCUCAACCUGAACACUGCCGUUGAAACUGGGAUUCUUGAGUAUGGAUGAAGUAGGCGGAAUUCGUUGUGUAGCGGUGACAUGCUUAGAUAUAACGAGGAACUCCGAUUGCGUAGGCAGCUUACUAAGCCAUAACUGACGCUCAAGCACGAAAGCGUGGGGAUCAAACAGGAUUAGAUACCCGCGUAGU